UCAAGUCGAUCUGGCGGCAUAAUCCACAAACUGGCUUAACCAUCCGGCGGCGAAAUCGUCGCACACGCCACGUCAAUGGUUCAAGCCCCGGGCGGUGAUCUCGGCGCACUCACCUCCCAAUCCAUCCUUGGUAUCAACCUCGGCGGCGAAAUCGUCGCACACGCCCUAGCCUUGAUACCAAGGUUAGCAUAGCACAAGUCCUGGGAUUCCGGAAUCCACUUCCACAGGUCGAGGGUCCAUAGCCAACCCUAUGCUGUCGACCUAAAACAUCCUAGUGGUUGCUACCACUAUACUCAACAACCUAGGUUUAAUGCCACUCUAGGUUUACUAUUCCACAGCCUAGGUUAUAAAACUCUAGGUUUACUAGUUCAACCUAUGUUCACAAACACUAGGUUCCACAUCACUAUGUCCGAC
RNAcentral lists this long non-coding RNA (414 nucleotides) under Ananas comosus (pineapple). RNAcentral's name for it is "long non-coding RNA (ACOM_LNC039999)". Lineage: Eukaryota; Viridiplantae; Streptophyta; Magnoliopsida; Poales; Bromeliaceae. The record is from RNAcentral.